CCCUUAGAUGUUCUGGGCCGCACGCGCGCUACACUGACUGGUGCAACAAGUGUCUGACCUUGGCUCGAGAGGCCUGGGCAACCUUUGAACGCCAGUCGUGCUGGGGAUAGAUUCUUGCAAUUAUUAAUCUUCAACGAGGAAUUCCUAGUAAACGCAAGUCAUCAGCUUGCAUUGAUUACGUCCCUGCCCUUUGUACACACCGCCCGUCGCUCCUACCGAUUGAAUGGUCCGGUGAAGCGUUCGGACCGUGGCCUUUGGACGGUUCGCCGUCUGUUGGCUGCGGGAAGUUCGUUAAACCUUAUCAUUUAGAGGAAGGAGAAGUCGUANCA
RNAcentral lists this ribosomal RNA (329 nucleotides) under uncultured eukaryote. RNAcentral's name for it is "partial 18S ribosomal RNA". It matches the Rfam family "Eukaryotic small subunit ribosomal RNA", at positions 1470 to 1796 of the family's 1831-position model. The record is from RNAcentral.